GGUUGUGGCUCAGCGGUUGAGCGCUCGCCUCACACUUGCGGGAGGGACCCUGGGUUCAAUCCUCAGCACCA
This 71-nucleotide transfer RNA is filed under the name Marmota monax (woodchuck). RNAcentral describes it as "tRNA.Val". The record is from RNAcentral. Lineage: Eukaryota; Metazoa; Chordata; Mammalia; Rodentia; Sciuridae.